This 113-nucleotide non-coding RNA is filed under the name Streptomyces sp. RNAcentral's name for it is "SAM-IV sequence". It matches the Rfam family "SAM (S-adenosyl methionine) riboswitch aptamer". Rfam says of the family: SAM-IV is a mRNA element that regulates gene expression via direct sensing of S-adenosylmethionine (SAM or AdoMet). SAM-IV riboswitches share conserved nucleotide positions with the previously described SAM-I riboswitches sequence analysis and molecular recognition experiments suggest that SAM-I and SAM-IV riboswitches share similar ligand binding sites, but have different scaffolds. The record is from RNAcentral. Lineage: Bacteria; Bacillati; Actinomycetota; Actinomycetes; Kitasatosporales; Streptomycetaceae. RNAcentral also lists the same sequence under 1 other name.
GGUCAUGAGCGUCAACACCAAGCCCUGGCUCGCUGACCGGCAACCCUCGCAUCGCGGUGGGGUGCCCCAGGUGACGACCGGACCGGAACGACGUAUUUCGGUAAGCGCGAGGG